CCUACGGGAGGCAGCAGUGAGGAAUAUUGGUCAAUGGCCGUAAGGCUGAACCAGCCAAGUCGCGUGAAGGAUGAAGGAUCUAUGGGUUGUAAACUUCUUUUAUAAGGGAAUAAAGGUAUCCACGUGUGGAUAUUUGCAUGUACCUUAUGAAUAAGCAUCGGCUAACUCCGUACCAGCAGCCGCGGUAAUACGGAGGAUGCGAGCGUUAUCCGGAUUUAUUGGGUUUAAAGGGUGCGUAGGUUGUUUUUUAAGUCAGCGGUGAAAGUUUGUGGCUCAACCAUAAAGUUGCAGUUGAAACUGGAAGACUUGAGUGGGUUAGAGGUAGGCGGAAUGCGUGGUGUAGCGGUGAAAUGCAUAGAUAGCGCGCAGAACUCCGAUGGCGAAGGCAGCUUACUAGGCCAUAACUGACACUGAAGCACGAAAGCGUGGGGAUCAAACAGGAUUAGAGACCCUGGUAGUC
RNAcentral lists this ribosomal RNA (460 nucleotides) under uncultured bacterium. RNAcentral describes it as "partial 16S ribosomal RNA". It matches the Rfam family "Bacterial small subunit ribosomal RNA", at positions 338 to 795 of the family's 1533-position model. The record is from RNAcentral.